RNAcentral lists this non-coding RNA (24 nucleotides) under Arabidopsis thaliana (thale cress). The record is from RNAcentral. Lineage: Eukaryota; Viridiplantae; Streptophyta; Magnoliopsida; Brassicales; Brassicaceae.
AAGGAAGUGGUGGUGGCCAAUGUC